UACGUAGGGGGCAAGCGUUGUCCGGAAUCAUUGGGCGUAAAGAGCGUGUAGGCGGUCCGGUAAGUCGGCUGUGAAAGUCCAGGGCUCAACCCUGGGAUGCCGGUCGAUACUGCCGGACUAGAGUUCGGAAGAGGCGAGUGGAAUUCCCGGUGUAGCGGUGAAAUGCGCAGAUAUCAGGAGGAACACCUAUUGCGAAGGCAGCUCGCUGGGACGUUACUGACGCUGAGACGCGAAAGCGUGGGGAGCAAACAGG
This 253-nucleotide ribosomal RNA is filed under the name uncultured bacterium. Its description in RNAcentral is "partial 16S ribosomal RNA". It matches the Rfam family "Bacterial small subunit ribosomal RNA", at positions 524 to 776 of the family's 1533-position model. The record is from RNAcentral.